This 703-nucleotide unclassified non-coding RNA is filed under the name Hevea brasiliensis (rubber tree). Lineage: Eukaryota; Viridiplantae; Streptophyta; Magnoliopsida; Malpighiales; Euphorbiaceae. The record is from RNAcentral.
GUUGUGAAGAUGACAUUGCCAAAGUAACCGUUGGGGAGCGGCGGGCGCAACCGGGCACGACCGUCGGUGGCAAUGUAAAGCUUAGUGUCUUGAUCCUCCGGAAGGUCACGAGCCUUGCACGUGCACCGCCAUACGUGGCCGGAGAGCAUCUCGUAGGAGCUGUAGUUGGUGGUGUUGCCGUUUUCUUUGGAUUUGGCUUUGAGUAAAUUAAGCUGCUCCCGGGUGAAUUUGAAAAUGGAGACGGUGGUUCCGUCCGGGUCGGGCUGGACCGGGAUUUUCAUGGGUGGGGCCGGUUGAUAUUCGAUGUGUCGGAAGGUCGGUUGAGGUGGGUCCCGCGCACGGAGGAGGGUCCGGUCGAUGUAAGGCCGGAGCUUGAGGUCGAUGCCACGCGACAUGUCGGACCAAGUGUUGACGAAGUGGAGACCGGAGAAGCCGUCCGCUACAUGGUGCUGCAUUCCGACGCCGAGGGAAACGCCACCGCAUUUGAAGUGUGUCACCUGUAACACCAGCAAGGGGUACGACUCGAUUCCGCCGGAGUAAUCUACUGCCGGAAUAAGCUGCCGGAGCUGCAACGUAGGCGCGAAAUCACCGAAAUCGUCGAUAACCGCCGUGGUCUCAGCCUCGACAAGAAGCACACCUUCGGCAUUACAGUUGAUCUCGAUUCGACCGUCUUCAUCGCGUCUCAACCGUCCGGCCAUUGGAU